AGCAUAUCAAUAAGCGGAGGAAAAGAAACCAACAGGGAUUGCCUCAGUAACGGCGAGUGAAGCGGCAACAGCUCAAAUUUGAAAUCUGGCCCUAGGCCCGAGUUGUAAUUUGCAGAGGAUGCUUUUGGUGCGGUGCCUUCCAAGUUCCCUAGAACGGGACGCCAGAGAGGGUGAGAGCCCCGUACAGUUGGACACCAAGCCUUUGUAAAGCUCCUUCGACGAGUCGAGUAGUUUGGGAAUGCUGCUCAAAAUGGGAGGUAUAUUUCUUCUAAAGCUAAAUACCGGCCAGAGACCGAUAGCGCACAAGUAGAGUGAUCGAAAGAUGAAAAGCACUUUGAAAAGAGGGUUAAACAGCACGUGAAAUUGUUAAAAGGGAAGCGCUUGUGACCAGACUUGCGUCCGGUGAAUCACCCAGCUCUCGCGGCUGGGGCACUUCGCCGGCUCAGGCCAGCAUCAGCUCGCUGUCGGGGACAAAAGCUUCAGGAACGUAGCUCUCUUCGGGGAGUGUUAUAGCCUGUUGCACAAUACCCUUCGGCGGGCUGAGGUACGCGCUCCGCAAGGAUGCUGGCAUAAUGGUCAUCAGCGACCCGUCUUGAAACACGGACCAAGGAGUCAACCUUAUGUGCGAGUGUUCGGGUGUCAAACCCCUACGCGUAAUGAAAGUGAACGCAGGUGAGAGCUUCGGCGCAUCAUCGACCGAUCCUGAUGUUCUCGGAUGGAUUUGAGUAAGAGCAUAUAGGGUUGGACCCGAAAGAAGGUGAACUAUGCGUGUAUAGGGUGAAGCCAGAGGAAACUCUGGUGGAGGCUCGCAGCGGUUCUGACGUGCAAAUCGAUCGUCAAAUAUGCGCAUGGGGGCGAAAGACUAAUCGAACCUUCUAGUAGCUGGUUUCCGC
RNAcentral lists this ribosomal RNA (893 nucleotides) under Colletotrichum gloeosporioides. Its description in RNAcentral is "LSU rRNA". It matches the Rfam family "Eukaryotic large subunit ribosomal RNA", at positions 37 to 961 of the family's 3401-position model. Lineage: Eukaryota; Fungi; Ascomycota; Sordariomycetes; Glomerellales; Glomerellaceae. The record is from RNAcentral.